CACUCCUGCGGGAGGCAGCAGUGGGGAAUAUUGCACAAUGGGCGCAAGCCUGAUGCAGCCAUGCCGCGUGUAUGAAGAAGGCCUUCGGGUUGUAAAGUACUUUCAGCGGGGAGGAAGGCAAUACGGUUAAUAACCGUGUUGAUUGACGUUACCCGCAGAAGAAGCACCGGCUAACUCCGUGCCAGCAGCCGCGGUAAUACGGAGGGUGCAAGCGUUAAUCGGAAUUACUGGGCGUAAAGCGCACGCAGGCGGUCUGUCAAGUCGGAUGUGAAAUCCCCGGGCUCAACCUGGGAACUGCAUUCGAAACUGGCAGGCUUGAGUCUUGUAGAGGGGGGUAGAAUUCCAGGUGUAGCGGUGAAAUGCGUAGAGAUCUGGAGGAAUACCGGUGGCGAAGGCGGCCCCCUGGACAAAGACUGACGCUCAGGUGCGAAAGCGUGGGGAGCAAACAGGAUUAGAUACCCGAGUAGUCCCAUGA
RNAcentral lists this ribosomal RNA (475 nucleotides) under uncultured organism. RNAcentral's name for it is "partial 16S ribosomal RNA". It matches the Rfam family "Bacterial small subunit ribosomal RNA", at positions 334 to 800 of the family's 1533-position model. The record is from RNAcentral.